GACGAACGCUGGCGGCGUGCCUAAUACAUGCAAGUAGAACGCUGAAGAGAGGAGCUUGCUCUUCUUGGAUGAGUUGCGAACGGGUGAGUAACGCGUAGGUAACCUGCCUGGUAGCGGGGGAUAACUAUUGGAAACGAUAGCUAAUACCGCAUAAAAUGGAUUAUCGCAUGAUAAUCCAUUGAAAGGUGCAAAUGCAUCACUACCAGAUGGACCUGCGUUGUAUUAGCUAGUUGGUGGGGUAACGGCUCACCAAGGCGACGAUACAUAGCCGACCUGAGAGGGUGAUCGGCCACACUGGGACUGAGACACGGCCCAGACUCCUACGGGAGGCAGCAGUAGGGAAUCUUCGGCAAUGGGCGGAAGUCUGACCGAGCAACGCCGCGUGAGUGAAGAAGGUUUUCGGAUCGUAAAGCUCUGUUGUAAGAGAAGAACGAGUGUGAGAGUGGAAAGUUCACACUGUGACGGUAUCUUACCAGAAAGGGACGGCUAACUACGUG
Molecule: ribosomal RNA, 497 nt
Filed under: uncultured bacterium
Lineage: Bacteria
Description: partial 16S ribosomal RNA
Rfam family: Bacterial small subunit ribosomal RNA
Source: RNAcentral